UACGUAGGGUGCGAGCGUUGUCCGGAAUUAUUGGGCGUAAAGAGCUCGUAGGCGGUCUGUCGCGUCAUGCUGUGAAAUCCCGAGGCUCAACCUCGGGCUUGCAGUGGGUACGGGCAGGCUAGAGUGCGGUAGGGGAGAAUGGAACUCCUGGUGUAGCGGUGGAAUGCGCAGAUAUCAGGAAGAACACCCGUGGCGAAGGCGGCUCUCGUGGGACGGUACUGACGCUGAGACGCGAAAGCGUGGGGAGCGAACAGGG
RNAcentral lists this ribosomal RNA (256 nucleotides) under uncultured bacterium. RNAcentral's name for it is "partial 16S ribosomal RNA". It matches the Rfam family "Bacterial small subunit ribosomal RNA", at positions 524 to 777 of the family's 1533-position model. The record is from RNAcentral.